ACCUACGGGGGGCAGCAGUGAGGAAUAUUGGUCAAUGGGCGAGAGCCUGAACCAGCCAAGUCGCGUGAAGGAUGACGGCCCUACGGGUUGUAAACUUCUUUUGUCAGGGAGCAAUUGGGUCCACGCGUGGGCUUAGCGAGAGUACCUGAAGAAAAAGCAUCGGCUAACUCCGUGCCAGCAGCCGCGGUAAUACGGAGGAUGCGAGCGUUAUCCGGAUUUAUUGGGUUUAAAGGGUGCGUAGGCGGUCGGAUAAGUUAGAGGUGAAAUCCCGAGGCUCAACUUCGGAAUUGCCUCUGAUACUGUUC
Molecule: ribosomal RNA, 305 nt
Filed under: uncultured bacterium
Lineage: Bacteria
Description: bacterial SSU rRNA
Rfam family: Bacterial small subunit ribosomal RNA
Source: RNAcentral